Daphnia pulex (common water flea) is the source of this 556-nucleotide long non-coding RNA. RefSeq lists it as uncharacterized. The record is from RefSeq and is a predicted model, not a curated record. The transcript is spliced from 6 exons. NCBI's taxonomy places the organism in Eukaryota, Metazoa, Arthropoda, Branchiopoda, Diplostraca, Daphniidae.
AUCGAAACGAACUAAUAUCAGACGACAUCUUUGUUCCUUUAAAAUACUCGCUUAGGAACUAUCAAGUAUGGUGGCUGUCCCUGUCAUGAUGUCUGCCUUUUUAUUAGUUGUAAGUAAAGCAACGUGGAAUGAAAUCCAAUGCACAUACUUGAUUCCGAAGAAGAUAGCAUUGAAAUCUUUCUACGGCAGCAUCAAUUAGUCCAGUGAAAUGAUUGAACUAUUCCAUUAAUCAGCUCUCAACACUUGAAAACGCCUCAUGGGUUUCCUCUAUGGUUCCAUAUUCCUGGCAGAUUUGAGUCUGUUAGCCAGAGGUCGUCGCACUUGACGUAUUUACGAAUAUGAAUAGAGGGUACUCCAGACCAAAAAAAAUUUAAGGUUCAGUUUGUCCUGUGUUAGUGGUCUGGAAUAUUUCACUCAUUCUAGGUGUUCCUGGAAUGUUGCAGACUGCGUAACAUGAAGGUAGCAGAAAUUUAAUGUUGUCAUUUUAAAUAAAUUGUGCAAAUUGUUAAUUUGUAUGAAAAUAAAUUAUUUGUAAUAAAAUUAUAUUUUUGACUAA